UAUAUUUGCAGAUUUCUUGAGUUAAUACCAAAGUCAGGUGGAAAUUUCAUGUGAAUAGCCUCAUUUGGAAAUAUAUGUACUGAAAGAAAUGUUGAGGCGUUCAAAACUUAUUUCCCGCACUGUAUGUGCUUGUUGAACAUCCCAUUAAAGAUUUAGUCGUCCCUUUGUUGUUAACCUCCACUCAUCUGGGAAGGCUUUCAACUCGGUUUUGGAGCAUGGUUGUGGGCUACACUACACUAUAUGGACAAAAGUUUGUGCACACAUGACCAUAACACCCAUAUGUCCAUUCCGAGCGUGGAGCUUAGCUGUGAGGAUUUGCUCAUUCAGCCACAAGAGCAUUAGUGAGGUCAGGCACAGGGGGAUUGUCAUGCUGGAACAUGUUUGCACCUCUUAGUUCCAGUGACUUAAAUCUGUAAAACUACAGCAAACAAUACGAUUGUGUGCUUUCAACUUUGCGGCAACAGUCUGGGGAAGAACCACAUAUGGGUGUGAUGGUCAGGUGUCCACAAACAUUUGGCCAUAUUGUUUAUCACAGCAAAAGAAUCUGCUUUCUGGAUGUGACCUAUUCAUAAGUUGGCCAAAUGGUAAAGUGUGUGAGUGUGUGUGAGAUGGACAGCACCAGCGCUGGAAUCACAAGCGACUCGUCUGAGUCUGCACCUCUCUGUGUGUUGUACAGUAAGUGUGUGCUUCUUUUAAAGAGUGAACGUUUGAAGCACCACGGCGAAAAUCUCCUAAUCCGCAUAAAACUGCACUUUUAACGGUAAUAUAUACUAGUUGAAGUCACUGUUGAAUUACGGAAUAUUAUAUUUAAAUAUCAAGAUGCACUUCAAAUGCUCUCACUACCUCCUUUUGAGAAUCUUUGGACAUCCGUUAAGGUUAUCGGGUAAAUUAAGUGUUGUCUCUGUCAUGGGAAGCAUGUUUAACUGUGUUCUUAGUGCACAAGUCAUUUAAAAAAUUUUUAAAUUUUGUUUUUGUUCAAAAAUAUUUAUCGAUGUUAAUAUUGCUAACUUAAAUAAUUCAGUUCACCCAAAAUGUUUACGCAUUGUUUUUGUUCCUUUUUCGUUCUUUUUUUUGUUUUUUUAUGUUACUAAUGUAGGAUCUGUUGCAAGGUGUUAUAUUUAUUUUUUUGGUGAAGAAAGAAACUUAAAGCUAAAAUUGGUUUAGGGUUUUUUUUUUUUUUUUUUUUAACAUACCACUGUUUGUGUUAGUAUAGCAUAAUGUUAUACUGGUCAGAUUCAUUGUCACUGUUGUCCCUCACACUUGAAUGAUAUAUGAUGUAUUGAAUCAUCCCAGCACGAGUGCCAACGCACAAUUACCAGUUCAACAAGUCGUUUUUUCUUUAAAAAUUAUAUAAAAACGUGUCAUUUUCAGCAACCAUUUUUGUGCCAUGAAAAGAUAACGUCUCUUUGUAGUCCAUCUGCUCAGAAUAACGCUGUUUAAAUCGGCCAAAUCCAGAAAUCUUAGGUUUUAUAUUCUCAUUGAUCAUCAUCUUUUUUUUUUUUUUUUUUUUUUUUUUUUUUUUACAGAAAUAAUUUAUUUUAUUUUGCUUUAUGGGAAAUUGCAAGAAAAAACAAAACCUCAGCCUACAGUAUAAUCACUUGUAUAAAUGAAACACAUUGUUGGUUGAUUGUAGGCCUGUCACAGUUAUUCAAGCUGAAGGGAUUGAGCUGAUUUAACAGUUUAAAUUCCACACUUUAUGAAUUGAUGUUCCUUUAUCAAUAUAAUGAAGAGGGUGUGACGACAGGGAGCACGGUGGCUUAGUGGUUAGCAUGUUCGCCUCACACCUCCAGGGUCGGGGGUUCGAUUCCCACCGUGGCCCUGUGUGCGGAGUUUGCAUGUUCUCCCCGUGCUGCGGGGGUUUCCUCCGGGUACUCCGGUUUCCUCCCCCAGUCCAAAGACAUGCAUGGUAGGCUGAUUGGCGUGUCUAAGGUGUCCGUAGUGUAUGAAUGGGUGUGUGAGUGUGUGUCAAGAUGGAUGUCACCCUGUCCAGGGUGUACCCCACCUUGUGCCCGAUGCUCCCUGGGAUAGGCUCCAGGUUUCCCCGUGACCCUGAAAAGAUUAAGCGCUAUAGAAGAUGGAGGGAUGAUGUUCCGACAUAUUUCGAUCAUUUUUCUUGAUCAAAAGCUUUGGCCGAUUAACUAUUUGUAACUGUUAUUUUUUUCUGUUUUAACAGAUUUUAGUUAUUAUUUACUGACAUGUCUUUCCUGUGCGUUUUACGCAGGAAUUCUGGUGUUUUCAGUGUCAGUAAAUAGCUGUGUACAGUAUAUACAUUAUUACACAACUGAUAUAAUGUUCAUGAUACAACUGGCAGAACGUCAACAGGAAAGCCCUUUAAAUUGUUUACUGCAGUCAUUUGUAUGCCAGUGAAUUCUCAAUCAAAAUGUUAUAAUUGUGACAGGCCUAGUAGCAAACUGAAGGAACAGCGCAAGUCCCUGUUGAUCAUGUGAUGGCUCAUAUUUGGUGCUAAAAAAAAAAUUUGUGUGCUUGAAACUUUUUGCUAAACACUCUUUUCUCAGUGCACUGAUGGGACGUGAACGUGAAUCUGUAUAGAUAUGUGUCCUGGUGUAGAUUGUAUUUCUUACUGUUUCUUGUUAAUUGCUAUAGUAGAUGCGGUGUGAUGAUAAAACCUAAUGGCAGCAGCAUAAAUUAUAUAUAUAUAUAUA
Long non-coding RNA from Ictalurus punctatus (channel catfish), 2663 nucleotides. The record is from Ensembl. Lineage: Eukaryota; Metazoa; Chordata; Actinopteri; Siluriformes; Ictaluridae.